RNAcentral lists this ribosomal RNA (207 nucleotides) under uncultured delta proteobacterium. Its description in RNAcentral is "partial 16S ribosomal RNA". It matches the Rfam family "Bacterial small subunit ribosomal RNA", at positions 568 to 774 of the family's 1533-position model. Lineage: Bacteria; Deltaproteobacteria. The record is from RNAcentral.
CGUGUAGGCGGCAUGACAAGUCGGAUGUGAAAGCCCUGGGCUCAACCCAGGAAGUGCAUUCGAUACUGCCGUGCUAGAGUCCCGGAGAGGGUGGUGGAACUCUCGGUGUAGAGGUGAAAUUCGUAGAUAUCGAGAAGAACACCGGUGGCGAAGGCGGCCACCUGGACGGUGACUGACGCUGAGACGCGAAAGCGUGGGGAGCAAACA